GGUUCUAUUUUUGGAUGUGGGCUCAGACAUUAGGAGCAGGCAGUAUCUUUUCUUUUUCUUUUUCUUUCUUUCUUUUUUUUUUUUUUUGACAGGAUGGGCUGGGGUUGGGGGAGGAGGAAGCAAGAAUUAAGCAGAGAAGGCAAGCUCCUUUCUGUUCAUCUAACUCAAACUGUUUCCAAGUGUGAACCCAGUGGAGACCUUUUCAAACUGUAGCCAUGAAGCAGGUUGCAUGAGGCAGUUCCAUCUCCUGGCAACUGUCUCCAUAGACACAGCCUGGUUUCGGUCCGCAUCCCUUACCUAGGAUUCUUCCUGGCUAAAGAAACCCAUAAAAGUGGAAAACUCAAACUCCACAGUGCAAAUAUCUCUUGAGUCUGCCUGCACUACCCUUUCUUGAAUGUGUAUUGAUAAGACUGCAGUUGACAUUUUAAGAAAUUUAAAUUUCAACCUGAAGUCAAUAAGGACACCUCAGAAGUUUUCAAAGGAAGGAUGGAGUCUGUUGAAAAGAACCGGUUGGUAAAAUGAGAAAAAAUGGAUUGAAGGAGACCCAAGUGACCACCUGGUAAUUACUUCAACAGCAGAGCGACUCAUACAGCCGGCAGUCCACUUUGUUCUUCUAUAGAUCCUGCCUGUGGUGUUGGAUCUAACAGCUUCUUCCCUGACCCAAGAUUAUGAAGGAUUUCUCCUGUGUUCUCUUCUAAAAAUUUUACAUUUAGGUCCUGGGCUUUCUCUGCUAGAAGAGGCUGAAUUCCUGGAGUACCUAGAGUACAGAGCUGGAGAGAAAUCUAGAAGUGGAAUUGCUGAGCUGUAGAGUAUGUGAAUCUCUACAACUUUCAACUUUACCAUGUAUUGUCAAAUUGCUCUCCAAAGUGAUGGUACCAAUUAAUGAUACUACCAAUAAGACCUGCACUAUAAAAAAUGGUAGAGGAAGUUCUUCAGUAUGAAAGUGAAUGAUACCAGAUGGAAACUGAGAUCUACAAAAUGAAACAUCACUGGAAAUAGUAAAUACAUGGAUUUAUGCUGCCAGAGUGGUUCUUCUAGUAAGAAGCCCCUUGCCAUCAGACACUGCAUUUCACUUGGUGAUUUUCCAGACUCCUCAAAUCUUUUAUGGAAAGAGGUAGAUCACGGAUACAAAUAUAAAAAGAUAAAAAUAGCAACUUGCCUUUCAAUUGAGUAAAACAAUUUAUUCAGCAUAGUAAAGAUGAAUUAAAUUUGUGGAAGUUAUCCCAUUAGAUUAUCUUUUAAAUGAUUAAUAUAAAGCCAGAAGAUGUAUUUCACUUCCAAAGGCAUAACCUGUUAAUCUCAAAAUUCUACAAUUUCUCUUUAUCUCUCCUUUUUUCUCGACCCCUUGGGUUCAUUCCCCAUCCUUGCUUUUCCAGGCUGCUGCCAUUCUUCUAAAUACACUUUCUGUAGUCUUCUAGCACCUUCACAUUCCAGUGUCCACCUUGUUGCCUUGUUGCCAGAGAGACCUUUUUCAGAUACACAUCUGAGUAUGUUAUUCUCUUUCAAUUUCUCCCCAUUACCGUCAACACAAAGUCCACACCUUUUGCAUAACAGUGCUCACAAGAAAUACUAGCUUCCUACAUCCUUUCAUUGCCUAACCUGGCGCUUAAAGCCUCCACAGUCUGUUUUCCAUCUGCUCUUAUAUUGUUAUUUUCUUCUGCCCUUUUCCACUUUACAAAUUCCCAGCCAUCCAGGACAUCUUUAUGUUCCCCAAGGAUGAGUUAAACGUUCAUAUUUCCAUGCCUUUUUUCACUUUUUUCUCUCUCUUCCCUGACUAGAAAAUUUGUAUUCCUCUUUUUAGAAUCAGCCACCUUGUGCUACAUCCUUUGUGAAGACUUAUUUGCCAGUCCCUGACAACCCCCCUUUCCCACCUGUAGAUUCAGCUCCCCUACCUCUGCACUUUCAUAGCAUCUAGUACUUACAUAUCUCUAAGAGUACACUUGGAUAUUAGCCUGUAGCAUUUGUGCACAUGGCUGUCUCUCUCAAUGGACUGUGAGCUCCUUGAGGGUAGAGACUGCCUAUCUUAUUUUAUUUUUUGAGUCAUUAGUGACAAAUAUAGUGCCUGGUACAGGGUGCUAGUAGACUGUAAUGGCUCAACAGUUAAACUACAGAUUCAAAAAGACCUGAGUGGGAAGUCCAAUGUUAGUACUUACUAGCUAAGUAAUAUUGGGAAAGUCACCUGAUUCCUCUUGAUUUUAACUUUUUUUCAUCUGUAAAAUGCAGACAAUAACAAAAUACCUAUCUUAUAAGGCUGUUGCAAAAAUUAAAUAAGUUAGUAUGUGUAG
Molecule: long non-coding RNA, 2285 nt
Filed under: Homo sapiens (human)
Lineage: Eukaryota; Metazoa; Chordata; Mammalia; Primates; Hominidae
Description: PREDICTED lncRNA (TCONS_00017033)
Source: RNAcentral